Silurus meridionalis is the source of this 265-nucleotide long non-coding RNA. RefSeq lists it as uncharacterized. NCBI's taxonomy places the organism in Eukaryota, Metazoa, Chordata, Actinopteri, Siluriformes, Siluridae. The transcript has 3 exons. The record is from RefSeq and is a predicted model, not a curated record.
CCUAGAACUGCGCAGGCUUCAGCUGAGACUAAGUUCCCUGAAAGAGAAGCAAAACGAGGUUACUGAAUUUUAAGAUUCUACAGUAAACGUGUUGGAAGACAGCAAUGGUGAGUGUCUGUGUUCUUUGUUGUGUUAACACUACUCCAGUGACGGGCCGUGCAUUUGGUACCUGGGGAUUUAGUGUGGACUUACCUGAUUUAAUACACCUCUUAAUACCAUUACUAUCAUGUCGCCAUUUUACAAACCAUCAAUACUAUAAAAAAAA